GAUGAGAUUUCCCAUAGCGCAAGCUAGUAAGAUCCCUGAAAGAUGAUCAGGUUGAUAGGUUCGAGGUGGAAGUGUGGUGACACAUGGAGCUGACGAAUACUAAUCGAUCGAGGACUUAACCAAUUU
Molecule: ribosomal RNA, 126 nt
Filed under: Heyndrickxia shackletonii
Lineage: Bacteria; Bacillati; Bacillota; Bacilli; Caryophanales; Bacillaceae
Description: Bacillus shackletonii partial 23S ribosomal RNA
Rfam family: Bacterial large subunit ribosomal RNA
Source: RNAcentral